RNAcentral lists this ribosomal RNA (503 nucleotides) under uncultured bacterium. RNAcentral's name for it is "partial 16S ribosomal RNA". It matches the Rfam family "Bacterial small subunit ribosomal RNA", at positions 30 to 523 of the family's 1533-position model. The record is from RNAcentral.
AUUGAACGCUGGUGGCAGGCUUAACACAUGCAAGUCGAGCGGGGUGAUGGUGCUUGCACUAUCACUUAGCGGCGGACGGGUGAGUAAUGCUUAGGAAUCUGCCUAUUAGUGGGGGACGACAUCUCGAAAGGGGUGCUAAUACCGCAUACGUCCUACGGGAGAAAGCAGGGGAUCACUUGUGACCUUGCGCUAAUAGAUGAGCCUAAGUCGGAUUAGCUAGUUGGUGGGGUAAAGGCCUACCAAGGCGACGAUCUGUAGCGGGUCUGAGAGGAUGAUCCGCCACACUGGGACUGAGACACGGCCCAGACUCCUACGGGAGGCAGCAGUGGGGAAUAUUGGACAAUGGGGGGAACCCUGAUCCAGCCAUGCCGCGUGUGUGAAGAAGGCCUUACGGUUGUAAAGCACUUUAAGCGAGGAGGAGGCUCUUUUGGUUAAUACCCAAGAUGAGUGGACGUUACUCGCAGAAUAAGCACCGGCUAACUCUGUGCCAGCCGCCGCCGUAA